This 202-nucleotide unclassified non-coding RNA is filed under the name Hevea brasiliensis (rubber tree). The record is from RNAcentral. Lineage: Eukaryota; Viridiplantae; Streptophyta; Magnoliopsida; Malpighiales; Euphorbiaceae.
UCAAUGUUCUGGAAUGGGAAAACUCCAAGGUUGAUCAUCUCGGAUCCAGAACUAAUGAAAGAAGUACUGUUUAACAAGCAAGGUCACAUUCAAAAGCCGCCAGUAAGCCCGCUUAUUCUCAUUCUUGCAAGAGGACUGACUCUUCUAGAUGGUGAGAAAUGGGCUCUACACCGAAGAUUGAUAAAUCCUGCUUUCCACCUAG